Long non-coding RNA from Brassica napus (rape), 1614 nucleotides. RefSeq lists it as uncharacterized. The transcript has 3 exons. Lineage: Eukaryota; Viridiplantae; Streptophyta; Magnoliopsida; Brassicales; Brassicaceae. The record is from RefSeq and is a predicted model, not a curated record.
GAUACGUUGUAGAUGAACACAUUUUUGGGUUGGGAUGAUGAAUGACAUGGUAUGUUAACAUGAAUUCCAUCGUCUCAAUUGUUGAAUCGUUGAAAUUACCAUGAUUGUCAAUGAAAGAUCGAACUUGGAAAUUGAUGACGGAUUGUUGUAUCGUUGGUCUGUGGAUAUAGACUUGGAGUGUUCGUUGUGGAUUUGCUCUUGAAGAUAUUGUUCGGUGGGUGAAGUGAUGAGAAAGAAAUGGAUUGUUAUUCAUUCUUGUAGUGUUUGUUGAAGGUAGGGUGUCAUAGAUAUGUUUUAUAGAUGGUUGGUGUGUUUUUUUUUUUUGUUGUUUACUUUUUGACGUUUGUUUAUAUGGUUCAUUUAUUCAUUGGCGUUAAAUAUUUGGAGUAAAUGGACUGUUAUUAAUUUAUUUAUUUUAUUAUGCUGCUUUGUUACUGUUUCAGAAGAUUAUGCUUAAUAUAUUUACAAUCACUGUUUGAUCUAUUAUUUCAAGAUUGCGUUUAAUGAUAUUAUAUUAGAAAUUUGUUUUCUUUAAUAGUUUUUUAUUACACCAAUGAGGUUAUCAUUUGUAAUUGGAUGUUGUAAAAGGUGGUAACAUUGAAAAAUAAAUAAAUGAAAAAUUAUAUGGACCUGAAAACAUAACGGUUGUAAAUUGUUGACAUAAAGUUUAGUAAUUGUUAAAAUAAUUUAAUUAUAUAGUUAAUUAAUUUGUGGUGAGAGGAUAAAUAAUCAAGUGGGUCAACUAAAUGGUUUUUUUAUAUAAUACAGUAUUAAUUUAUGAAAUUUACUUAAUUAAAUAGUUAUAUAACUAUUUUUUUGUAGGUUAGUUCUGUUUGGGAAAAUAUAAUGUUGUUUCCUUAAAUGUUUGUAUGCUCAACAUAUCAAAGCAUAUUUGGUCGUCCAAAAAACGGAUUGGGUUUAAAAAUGUUGGGCUCGAAUUGUGGUGGGCCUUGAAUUUACAUUUGUUCUGAUACUUAAAAAAAUCCCUUAGGUCGUCUUUUUUCCUCCGUCGUCGGGGGAGCUUCACCGUUGCCUGCGAUUCCUGUCCUGAUUGGCGUUUAAGGCGGUGAGUUUGGGUUACGGCAAUUGUUCUAAAGCGUAAUUGAAGAAGAAUUUGUUCACAUUAGCUUAGGCAGAGUCGGCAUCAACCUUUGAUGUUUCGUCAUCGUCUGAACCUGCAACAGAGAAGUGCCACGUAUAGCUGACCAUGGCUGAAGACUGGUUUAGGCAAGUAUAGAGAGACGUGUGACAAAGUCUGUCCUUGACUUUUAUUUAUUGUCAUCGCAUAACAGACCCUUAUCGGAAACUGGCGUCGCUUCAAGGUGAAUGGAUGGUUGGAUUCUGGUGGUGACAAUAUGAUCCGUGGUAGCAGAAUAGGAUCUCUCUUGGUGGUUGAUAUUAUGCAGGAGCAUGACUGGGACACCCACUUUCAGACGUAGUUUAUGCGCCGGUAGACCUGGAAACUCCAAUGAGUUUAGAUAUUCCACCAGGUAUGUCAUAUCUAAGUCUCCUGAAUGUUGCUCUUCCUCCGCAAAGCUGUCUGCACUCAAGUACUCCUUCUCUUCUCCAGGAACUUUUGAUACCAAAUAAGUGUUGAUUUCAUCAACUGUGACA